This 75-nucleotide transfer RNA is filed under the name Acinetobacter seifertii. RNAcentral's name for it is "tRNA-Met". It matches the Rfam family "tRNA". Rfam says of the family: Transfer RNA (tRNA) molecules are approximately 80 nucleotides in length. Their secondary structure includes four short double-helical elements and three loops (D, anti-codon, and T loops). Further hydrogen bonds mediate the characteristic L-shaped molecular structure. tRNAs have two regions of fundamental functional importance: the anti-codon, which is responsible for specific mRNA codon recognition, and the 3' end, to which the tRNAs corresponding amino acid is attached (by aminoacyl-tRNA synthetases). tRNAs cope with the degeneracy of the genetic code in two manners: having more than one tRNA (with a specific anti-codon) for a particular amino acid; and 'wobble' base-pairing, i.e. permitting non-standard base-pairing at the 3rd anti-codon position. Lineage: Bacteria; Pseudomonadati; Pseudomonadota; Gammaproteobacteria; Moraxellales; Moraxellaceae. The record is from RNAcentral.
UGCGGGAUGGAGCAGUCUGGUAGCUCGUCGGGCUCAUAACCCGAAGGUCGUUGGUUCAAAUCCAGCCCGCUACCA